CUCGAUUAGCAUAUAUUCAAAAACACCGCCCACAAAACAACCCACGGGGAAGUUACUACGUUCCUAGGAAACGAGAAACCAGAGGAAUUGAAUUCUCCAUGAAGAACAGGGUUUCUCACGAGGAGAAGAAGAGGAGAAAAGUGAUUCACAAAUCAGAGUGAAGAUACAAGGAAAUUUUGCCUAAGAAGGAAAAGAACAUAUUUCUCAGAAGCUGUGGUCCAUAAUUGCUUCCAUCCAUGACUUCAACAGAGCACUACCAACAAACAAUGUCGUAAUCAGACAGAAUCCUCCCUCAAUUCCCUGCAAAAACACUACCAUGUUUGUUUACAUGUUCAGAUGGUUUCUGUGUAUGUAUUAUUUUAUUGGCAGUUCUGGAAAGGGCACAUUCUCUAGUGAUGACACUCUUGGAUUCUGCCCCAAAAAUGCAUCAGACUGCACAGGAUGUGUUGUUAUCUGCUCUGUAACACAUAGACAGUAAAUUAACUGCUAUCAGACAGAUGACAGACAGCUAAAUUGAAUGUUUGCAUAUAGUUUUCUUUAAUUUGCUGUGUUUCUUGAUACCUAUCUUUUCUGAUAUUGCUCCCAUAUCAGAUGUGAGUAGAUUAAGUCUGUCAGAACAAUGGGGAAAAUUAUUAUAGAUAGCAAAGUUACAGCCCUCCAUCAGUGGCAGACACUUUUCAAACUAAUGACUUGUAGUGUAUAUUACAUAUAUUCAAGGGCUCUCAUUUUAUCGUUCUACAAGUGUGUUUUAUCCUAUUAAAAAACAGAGAGAGAUUCAGAGCUUUCUCAAAUAUGACAGCAAUUUCUCUGAGUCCUCAAGGAGUUGAAAAAAAUUGUAUCUAAAUGUGUGAUACUUUUAUAAAUGCAAAGAAUUUUUUAGAUUUUUAUGACUUUUCAAUUCAGUACAAUUUGAUUCCUUAUAUAAAAUGAAUUUCAGUAUGAGCCUGAAGCUGAAAAAUAUAAAAGCGGAGAGUAUAAUUUGGGGAAAAUUAUCCUUUCAAUCAAAACUAGUAAGUAAGGAAAUCUAAUAGUCAGAAAAAUGCCAAAUUCAGUCUGUGAAUACUAGAUGACACUUUCAAUACAUAUCUCCCAGCUAUUAACUUACAGAAAAAAAUCAUAUACUUCUGUAAUAUGCACCAGUCUUUUAUAUCGAGCUCUGUCUAAGAAUUUACAAAUUUCACUGAAGUUUCUUAUUACAAUGUCACCUGUCAUGGAAAGUAUAAUGCUAGUGCAGAAUCCCAUGACACGAAUGCAUGUUAAUAUAGAAAAGUCUCUGUCCUCCUUUUUCAGAAGACGACCAUGGUAGGUUUUCAGCAUCCUACUGUCUGUUUACAUAGAAAAAAUAAAAUAAAACUCCUGUGAAUUGUUACUUCAUCAUAAAUUUGAUCUGUUGCAAAGUGCAAAUAAACAGAGAUGUUAUGGAAAAUAAUUACACUAAGGAGGCCUGUUAGUAGCAAUCAUUUCUGGAUGUAAAAGGACUUUCUUGAAUUACCAUGUAUGAUGGUGGUUUGUACUUGGUUUACAAAGAUGAUUUAUUUGAAGGUGUCAUGGAGUUACUUUACCUUUAAGGAAA
Cyanistes caeruleus (blue tit) is the source of this 1573-nucleotide non-coding RNA. The record is from RefSeq and is a predicted model, not a curated record. Lineage: Eukaryota; Metazoa; Chordata; Aves; Passeriformes; Paridae.